This 637-nucleotide ribosomal RNA is filed under the name Enterobacter sp. HMSC055A11. Its description in RNAcentral is "bacterial LSU rRNA". It matches the Rfam family "Bacterial large subunit ribosomal RNA", at positions 591 to 1228 of the family's 2925-position model. Lineage: Bacteria; Pseudomonadati; Pseudomonadota; Gammaproteobacteria; Enterobacterales; Enterobacteriaceae. The record is from RNAcentral.
GGGUGACUGCGUACCUUUUGUAUAAUGGGUCAGCGACUUAUAUUCUGUAGCAAGGUUAACCGUAUAGGGGAGCCGCAGGGAAACCGAGUCUUAACUGGGCGUUAAGUUGCAGGGUAUAGACCCGAAACCCGGUGAUCUAGCCAUGGGCAGGUUGAAGGUUGGGUAACACUAACUGGAGGACCGAACCGACUAAUGUUGAAAAAUUAGCGGAUGACUUGUGGCUGGGGGUGAAAGGCCAAUCAAACCGGGAGAUAGCUGGUUCUCCCCGAAAGCUAUUUAGGUAGCGCCUCGUGAACUCAUCUUCGGGGGUAGAGCACUGUUUCGGCUAGGGGGUCAUCCCGACUUACCAACCCGAUGCAAACUACGAAUACCGAAGAAUGUUAUCACGGGAGACACACGGCGGGUGCUAACGUCCGUCGUGAAGAGGGAAACAACCCAGACCGCCAGCUAAGGUCCCAAAGUCAUGGUUAAGUGGGAAACGAUGUGGGAAGGCCCAGACAGCCAGGAUGUUGGCUUAGAAGCAGCCAUCAUUUAAAGAAAGCGUAAUAGCUCACUGGUCGAGUCGGCCUGCGCGGAAGAUGUAACGGGGCUAAACCAUGCACCGAAGCUGCGGCAGCGACGCUUAUGCGUUGUUGGG